AUAAUCAGCUUUAUAUUUAGUAUAGGAUAUAAAUUUGAAAGCCCGUAAUAGCACCAUCUGCUGAUGAAACCAGGUGUGGUCUCACAUGAGCGUUUUGCUAUAUACCAUCAGUGCAUAGUGAGAACAUGAAACAAUGGGUUAGUAUAAUAUCCUGACCCAUCACAAGUCUUUAUCUGCUGCUACCUUGCUUAGCAGCUCCAGCAGUAGUUGUUGUCAUGAAAGAUUCACCACAACCACAUUGGCCUUUAGAGUUUGGAUUAAUAAAUAUGAACUCAGACCUCAGUUUGUCAUCAACAAAAUCCAUCUUAGUGCCAAUAACAUGCAUGAGAGCUUUUGGAUCAAUCAGUAUCUUUACACCCUUUUCCUCAACCAA
This 373-nucleotide unclassified non-coding RNA is filed under the name Hevea brasiliensis (rubber tree). Lineage: Eukaryota; Viridiplantae; Streptophyta; Magnoliopsida; Malpighiales; Euphorbiaceae. The record is from RNAcentral.